This 707-nucleotide long non-coding RNA is filed under the name Marmota monax (woodchuck). Lineage: Eukaryota; Metazoa; Chordata; Mammalia; Rodentia; Sciuridae. The record is from RNAcentral.
AGGCAAGGAAAGCUGUUUACCUAUUCUUGAAAUUAUGAUGUGAGCAUCUUUGGAAACCAUUAUUCUGUCUAGUGCAUGGUAAUACAAAUCAUUUAUAAAAGAUAAAAAUGCUAAAUUUAAGAGCAAAAUACUUUUUUCAAAACAUUUAUCCUUGAUACAGGAUGUUCAAGCUUUUUUCAAAUUAUCAUCCUUGAUAGAAGAUGUCCAAAACAGUAGUGAAGAUGUGAACCUGUUUUUACUUGUGGGAACCAGUUUAGGCAAAGACAAUUUUAUUUAAACUUAUCUUGAUGAGUUAGACUAGUGAAGAAAAACAGGACCGUGGCUUAUUUCAGGUCUUGCUUAUCCUAAGGGGAUGAUUUGUCACUUUGAAUAAUUACUAGAAGCAAAGGACAUCUAGUUUCCAGAAGAAAAAAAUGUAUGUGAAUGGAGUUUUGUAAAAUAUAGUUAAUUUCUCUUUCUGAAGGCCUGUGAAUAUGAACCAUCCUACUCAUGUGAGUAGGAUUCUUGCUGAAUCCUGACUGACCACUAAAGGAAACACUUAGCUCAGAUAAUUAUGUGAACAAGAAAAAAAUAUUAUUUCCCUGAAAAUAUUCCAUGUAACAUUUUAAAAAUGAUUCAACUAUAUCUUGUGAUUGGUAUUUUUGAAAACUGGCUGUUUCUCUACCACUGUGGCAACUCAUUGCAGCAUUUAUGACAUUCUGCAGAAU